RNAcentral lists this long non-coding RNA (257 nucleotides) under Prunus persica (peach). RNAcentral's name for it is "long non-coding RNA (PPER_LNC005505)". Lineage: Eukaryota; Viridiplantae; Streptophyta; Magnoliopsida; Rosales; Rosaceae. The record is from RNAcentral.
AUAGCCAAAAACUACCCUAACAUAAAUCUUAAUCUACUUUUAUUUCUAUUUUUGUCUUCUCUUCUACUUCAUCCUUCUCUUACUCUUUGUAAUCAACCGGACUCAGAGGAACCAUCUUCAGUUUCAUUUUCAUGACUUCAUCUUUGAUAUAGAUCACCUGCAGCGCAUUUUUGAUAUCCUGGUCUUUUUUGUCAAAUGAAAUAGUGCGAUUCACAGAACCACCAUCCCAUUUUGCUCUCUUAGCAAGUUGGAGUAGG